GUAUUUUGCUCUCUGAUAUACAACAAUGAGUCGGUUUUACAGUUUAACCGAAGAUCUGGAUCUACUCUUUACCGUUCACUCUUUUCAGUCUCUCCGACCAUGUCGCUGUAUCCUAAAACUGUGGUUCGUGAGGUAAAAUCUGAAUCUCUGACUUCAUUGUUACUUUGGUUCAGCUUCUUUUCUUUUUUGUUUUGGUGCUGAUGAGUCUGUUUUACAGUUUACCCAAAAGAGCUCUGGAUCGAUUCUCUGGCGUUCACUCUCUUCUUCUGGAUCUCCGAUCAUGUCUCCAUAUCUGGUUCGUGAGGUAAAAUCUGAAUCUCUGACUUCAUUUCAUUUUUAAUCUAUUUCAGCUUCUUCCUUUCGAUGUUGAUGA
RNAcentral lists this long non-coding RNA (373 nucleotides) under Arabidopsis lyrata. RNAcentral describes it as "long non-coding RNA (ALYR_LNC001936)". The record is from RNAcentral. Lineage: Eukaryota; Viridiplantae; Streptophyta; Magnoliopsida; Brassicales; Brassicaceae.